RNAcentral lists this ribosomal RNA (475 nucleotides) under uncultured bacterium. Its description in RNAcentral is "partial 16S ribosomal RNA". It matches the Rfam family "Bacterial small subunit ribosomal RNA", at positions 28 to 507 of the family's 1533-position model. The record is from RNAcentral.
GAUGAACGCUAGCUACAGGCUUAACACAUGCAAGUCGAGGGGCAGCAUGGGGGUUGCUUGCAGCUCUCGAUGGCGACCGGCGCACGGGUGAGUAACGCGUACCCAACCUGCCCUUCACCACGGGUUAACCAGGCGAAAGUCGGACCAAUACCGUACGUCGUCCAUUGACGGCAUCCGAGAUGGACGAAGGGCUUGGCGGUGGAGGAUGGGAAUGCGGCCGAUUAGGUGGAUGGCGGGGUAACGGCGGACCGAGGCUUUGACGGGUAGCCGGCCUGAGAGGGUGACCGGCCACAGUGGGACUGAGAUACGGCCCAGACUCCUACGGGAGGCAGCAGUGGGGAAUAUUGCACAAUGGGCGGAAGCCUGAUGCAGCAACGCCGCGUGCGGGAUGACGGCCUUCGGGUUGUAAACCGCUUUCGCCUGUGACGAAGCGUGAGUGACGGUAAUGGGUAAAGAAGCACCGGCUAACUACGUG